This 253-nucleotide ribosomal RNA is filed under the name uncultured bacterium. RNAcentral describes it as "partial 16S ribosomal RNA". It matches the Rfam family "Bacterial small subunit ribosomal RNA", at positions 524 to 776 of the family's 1533-position model. The record is from RNAcentral.
UACGUAGGGUGCAAGCGUUGUCCGGAAUCAUUGGGCGUAAAGAGCUCGUAGGCGGUCUGUCGCGUCUGCUGUGAAAGUCCAGGGCUCAACCCUGGAAUGCCGGUGGAAACUGUCGAGCUAGAGUCCGGAAGAGGCGAGUGGAAUUCCUGGUGUAGCGGUGAAAUGCGUAGAUAUCAGGAGGAAUACCGAUGGCGAAGGCAGGUCUCUGGGCUGACACUGACGCUCAUGCACGAAAGCGUGGGGAGCAAACAGG